AUUGAACGCUGGCGGCAGGCCUAACACAUGCAAGUCGAGCGGAUGAAGGGAGCUUGCUCCUGGAUUCAGCGGCGGACGGGUGAGUAAUGCCUAGGAAUCUGCCUGGUAGUGGGGGAUAACGUCCGGAGACGGGCGCUAAUACCGCAUCCGUCCUGAGGGAGAAAGUGGGGGUUCUUCGGACCUCACGCUAUCAGAUGAUCCUAGGUCGGAUUAGCUAGUUGGUGGGGUAAAGGCCUACCAAGGCGACGAUCCGUAACUGGUCUGAGAGGAUGAUCAGUCACACUGGAACUGAGAAACGGUCCAGACUCCUACGGGAGGCAGCAGUGGGGAAUAUUGGACAAUGGGCGAAAGCCUGAUCCAGCCAUGCCGCGUGUGUGAAGAAGGUCUUCGGAUGGUAAAGCACUUUAAGUUGGGAGGAAGGGCAGUAAGUUAAUACCUUGCUGUUUUGACGGUACCAACAGAAUAAGCACCGGCUAACUUCGUG
This 484-nucleotide ribosomal RNA is filed under the name uncultured bacterium. RNAcentral's name for it is "partial 16S ribosomal RNA". It matches the Rfam family "Bacterial small subunit ribosomal RNA", at positions 30 to 507 of the family's 1533-position model. The record is from RNAcentral.